UGGGGGGGUGCCUAAUACAUGCAAGUCGAGCGAAUGACGAGAAGCUUGCUUCUCUGAUUUAGCGGCGGACGGGUGAGUAACACGUGGGCAACCUGCCCUACAGAUCGGGAUAACUCAGGGAAACCUGGGCUAAUACCGGAUAAUCCUUCGAAUCACAUGUUUUGAAGUUGAAAGGCGCUUCGGCGUCACUGUAGGAUGGGCCCGCGGUGCAUUAGCUAGUUGGUGGGGUAACGGCCUACCAAGGCAACGAUGCAUAGCCGACCUGAGAGGGUGAUCGGCCACAUUGGGACUGAGACACGGUCCAGACUCCUACGGG
This 316-nucleotide ribosomal RNA is filed under the name Kurthia gibsonii. RNAcentral's name for it is "bacterial SSU rRNA". It matches the Rfam family "Bacterial small subunit ribosomal RNA", at positions 37 to 345 of the family's 1533-position model. The record is from RNAcentral. Lineage: Bacteria; Bacillati; Bacillota; Bacilli; Caryophanales; Caryophanaceae.